This 257-nucleotide ribosomal RNA is filed under the name uncultured Pseudomonas sp. RNAcentral describes it as "partial 16S ribosomal RNA". It matches the Rfam family "Bacterial small subunit ribosomal RNA", at positions 96 to 354 of the family's 1533-position model. Lineage: Bacteria; Pseudomonadati; Pseudomonadota; Gammaproteobacteria; Pseudomonadales; Pseudomonadaceae. The record is from RNAcentral.
CGGCGGACGGGUGAGUAAUGCCUAGGAAUCUGCCUGGUAGUGGGGGACGAACGUUUCGAAAGGAACGCUAAUACCGCAUACGUCCUACGGGAGAAAGCAGGGACCUUCGGGCCUUGCGCUAUCAGAUGAGCCUAGGUUGGAUUAGCUAGUUGGUGAGGUAAUGGCUCACCAAGGCGACGAUCCGUAACUGGUCUGAGAGGAUGAUCAGUCACACUGGAACUGAGACACGGUCCAGACUCCUACGGGAGGCAGCAGGU